Molecule: ribosomal RNA, 484 nt
Filed under: uncultured bacterium
Lineage: Bacteria
Description: partial 16S ribosomal RNA
Rfam family: Bacterial small subunit ribosomal RNA
Source: RNAcentral
AUUGAACGCUGGCGGCAGGCCUAACACAUGCAAGUCGAGCGGAUGAAGGGAGCUUGCUCCUGGAUUCAGCGGCGGACGGGUGAGUAAUGCCUAGGAAUCUGCCUGGUAGUGGGGGAUAACGUCCGGAAACGGGCGCUAAUACCGCAUACGUCCUGAAGGAGAAAGUGGGGGAUCUUCGGACCUCACGCUAUCAGAUGAGCCUAGGUCGGAUUAGCUAGUUGGUGGGGUAAAGGCCUACCAAGGCGACGAUCCGUAACUGGUCUGAGAGGAUGAUCAGUCACACUGGAGCUGAGACACGGUCCAGACUCCUACGGGAGGCAGCAGUGGAGAAUAUUGGACAAUGGGCGAAAGCCUGAUCCAGCCAUGCCGCGUGUGUGAAGAAGGUCUUCGGAUUGUAAAGCACUUUAAGUUGGGAGGAAGGGCAGUAAGUUAAUACCUUGCUGUUUUGACGUUACCAACAGAAUAAGCACCGGCUAACUUCGUG